GACGAACGCUGGCGGCGUGCUUAACACAUGCAAGUCGAACGAUGAAGCCCAGCUUGCUGGGUGGAAGAGUGGCGAACGGGUGAGUAACACGUGAGUAACCUGCCCUGAACUCUGGGAUAAGCACUGGAAACGGUGUCUAAUACUGGAUACUACCUAUCACCGCAUGGUGUGUGGGUGGAAAGAUUUAUCGGUUCUGGAUGGACUCGCGGCCUAUCAGCUAGAUGGUGAGGUAAUGGCUCACCAUGGCGACGACGGGUAGCCGGCCUGAGAGGGUGACCGGCCACACUGGGACUGAGAAACGGCCCAGACUCCUACGGGAGGCAGCAGUGGGGAAUAUUGCACAAUGGGCGCAAGCCUGAUGCAGCAACGCCGCGUGAGGGAUGACGGCCUUCGGGUUGUAAACCGCUUUUAGUAGGGAAGAAGCGAAAGUGACGGUACCUGCAGAAAAAGCACCGGCUAACUACGUG
This 467-nucleotide ribosomal RNA is filed under the name uncultured bacterium. RNAcentral describes it as "partial 16S ribosomal RNA". It matches the Rfam family "Bacterial small subunit ribosomal RNA", at positions 28 to 507 of the family's 1533-position model. The record is from RNAcentral.